This 125-nucleotide small nuclear RNA is filed under the name Marmota monax (woodchuck). RNAcentral describes it as "U4 spliceosomal RNA". It matches the Rfam family "U4 spliceosomal RNA". From Rfam's summary of the family: U4 small nuclear RNA (U4 snRNA) is a component of the major U2-dependent spliceosome. The structure of U4 snRNA from yeast and human has been reported. U4 snRNA presents a k-turn RNA motif in the 5p-SL related to recognition of Snu13 protein. The record is from Rfam by way of RNAcentral. Lineage: Eukaryota; Metazoa; Chordata; Mammalia; Rodentia; Sciuridae.
AUGUAUAUAAGCUGGAAUUUAGUAUUGCCAAAAUUANAUUGCUAAUUGAAAACUUUUUCCAAUACCCGGCCUUGAUGACCUGCAAUAUAAGCAACACUGGCAAUUUUUGACAGUCUCUAUAGAGA